UACGUAGGGUGCGAGCGUUAAUCGGAAUUACUGGGCGUAAAGCGUGCGCAGGCGGUUUUGUAAGCCAGAUGUGAAAGCCCCGGGCUUAACCUGGGAAUGGCAUUUGGGACUGCAAGGCUUGAGUGCGGCAGAGGAGACUGGAAUUCCUGGUGUAGCAGUGAAAUGCGUAGAUAUCAGGAGGAAUACCGAUGGCGAAGGCAACCACCUGGGCCUGUACUGACGCUGAGGUACGAAAGCGUGGGGAGCAAACAGG
Molecule: ribosomal RNA, 253 nt
Filed under: uncultured bacterium
Lineage: Bacteria
Description: partial 16S ribosomal RNA
Rfam family: Bacterial small subunit ribosomal RNA
Source: RNAcentral